GGAUGUGAGGGCGAUCUGGCUGCGACAUCUGUCACCCCAUUGAUCGCCAGGGUUGAUUCGGCUGAUCUGGCUGGCUAAGCAGGUGUCCCCUUCUUCCCUCACUGCUCCAUGUGCGUCCCUCCCGAAGCUGUGCCACUCGGUGGAAGAGGAUGGCCUUCCCCUAAUAGAGAUGGACCGGUCUUUGGUCGAGAGUAUAUGAGUAGCUGCGCUCCCCUGCUAGAACCUCCAAACAAGCCCUCAAAUGAUAUUACAGGUGCUGAUCCCAAUAUAAUCAACUCAACGAGUUCUGCCUCAACAUGGUUAACUUCAGACUGU
Unclassified non-coding RNA from Erinaceus europaeus (western European hedgehog), 315 nucleotides. Its record names the gene 7SK. It matches the Rfam family "7SK RNA". Rfam says of the family: 7SK was discovered as an abundant small nuclear RNA in the mid-70s but a possible function has only recently been suggested. Two independent studies have found that 7SK RNA binds the CDK9/cyclin T complex (known as elongation factor P-TEFb). P-TEFb activates transcription by phosphorylating the C-terminal domain of RNA polymerase II. NCBI's taxonomy places the organism in Eukaryota, Metazoa, Chordata, Mammalia, Eulipotyphla, Erinaceidae. The record is from Ensembl.